This 24-nucleotide small RNA is filed under the name Bombyx mori (domestic silkworm). RNAcentral describes it as "ovarian small RNA-22511". Lineage: Eukaryota; Metazoa; Arthropoda; Insecta; Lepidoptera; Bombycidae. The record is from RNAcentral.
UAGCUGAAGCCGGUGAAGGGUCCC